This 1703-nucleotide long non-coding RNA is filed under the name Rattus norvegicus (Norway rat). RNAcentral describes it as "long non-coding RNA NONRATT023425". Lineage: Eukaryota; Metazoa; Chordata; Mammalia; Rodentia; Muridae. The record is from RNAcentral.
UGACGCCCGGCAAACAUUCCUGAGCUGCUGAGGGGGCAGUUGGAGUCCGGGCACCGCAGAACCGCUGGGGAAGGGGCUCCCAAGCCCUAAUCUAAGAGUCGCCACCAUGCCCAGCUCUCCGACAAGCACCCGUAAGCAGACCAACUUCACCGCGAGUGUCUCCGCACAAUCAAGGAAGUCCAUUAGCUUUGGUAACCCAAAAUCAACCGGAGGGAAAGGAUAUGCUGGUGCAAAUCAAAGCAAAAUAGUCGCAUCAAGAACCAUGACUUUUUUACCCGAGAUGAAGCCGGCAGAAAAACUAAACAUUGCUAGCGCCAAAUUGGUACAGGUGCUCGAUCCACGAGGAGUUGAUGUCACUCCCCGACCUCUCUACCAUCCAGAUCCACAUGCCAUGCCAACAAAGCCGAGCAAACUCUUGACAUCACAAGAAGGAUCGAUGGGAUCAGAUUAUAUUUCUUCCUACAGCCUGUAUCAGAAUACGUUAAACCCCAGCAUGUUAGGGCAGUACACGAGGUGACGUAUACUGGCCCUAGUUCUUUUGAUUUCAUGUAUAUUGUCCUUCUGUUUGUAUACAUCCAGAACGUAUAUUAUCUUCCAGUUUUCUAACAUCAACCUAUCAAUCCUAGCACACUUGGUGGCCACGAGCGACGCCCUUGCAGUUCCCUGCACAACCUGUUAGCUCUUCCCUCCUUAGCUCAGCUGCUCAGUCUCCUCCCCGGCGCUUGUCUACCCCUGUUAAGCUGGGGAGGGGCCUUUGAGAAUCUUCCAAGUUACUGUUUUCCCAGACACGGCCUUUCAUUUACCUCCUGAGUCCCUUGAGUUGUCCCCUCUUGUAGGGAAGGUUUCAGCUUGGAGGAAACUGCUGUUGGCAUAGCUAGCUCUUGAGUUAUCGCUCCAGGGGACUUUUGUAAAAUUGUACUCUUUUUGGAGAUGAGUUGUGAAGAAUGGCUAGAACCCAGGUGAGAAACAAAGGGAAGAGUGUCCUGGGCUGAGCCCCUCAGAGAGCUGACAGAGGCUCGGAAACACCCAACAAGGAGAUGCCGAAGAGCCAUACAGAGGAUGGAGGUGGAGGCGGAGCUCUAGUUUAGACUUUUGCCUAAAAUGUACAUUGAGAACGCAGUGAUAGCCUCUGGGCAUAGGUUUAAAGAACAUGAAGAAUCAAUGGAAGAGAGUGUAAAGUUCCUGUGCUUUACGUUGCUUAUAGGACUGCAGUAUAUUUGGUUUUCCCAUCUGUUACUGUAACCUAAUUUACAUUUUUAGUUUCUCAUAAGGACACUGAACAAAUGAAUGACGUUACUAAUUUUCAAAGGUCAGUCAUAGGGAGCAGCAGUACAGUGUCUAAGUCAAGUAUAUCAACGACUGAAUCAAUGACAGAGGACCUUGAAGAUCCAUCUUACAAAAGGGAUAGAUUGGCUAGUUUUGCAGGUAAUAAAAAACUUCUUUUAUUUAAUCUUCCAGUUUUUUUUUUUUUAGAUGUGUAUUGGUGUUUUGCCUGCAUAUAUGUCUGUGUCAGAUCUUAAAGUUACAGACAGUUCUGAGGUGCCAGGUGGGUGUGGGGAAUUGAACCCGAGUCCUCUGGAAGAGCAAUCAUUGCUCUUAACCACUAAGUCAAAUCUCCACCCCCUUAAUUUUACAGUCUUAAUGCAUUUUCAGUGGUGUAAGACUAGACUCCCCGCAAUAAAAUUGUCAUGUUCAUAAAACCU